Non-coding RNA from Doryrhamphus excisus (bluestripe pipefish), 2981 nucleotides. The record is from RefSeq and is a predicted model, not a curated record. NCBI's taxonomy places the organism in Eukaryota, Metazoa, Chordata, Actinopteri, Syngnathiformes, Syngnathidae.
GCACCGCGACACCUGGGUUAAUUCAGUACGAGGCGCCAACUUCCUCGCUCGCUUCUCCGUUGGCAUCAUUGCUUCGGAUCUAAAUUUAAAGAUACAAGUCCAGUUUCCAAACCUGUGUACUCCUCAGGAGCAGGGACCUCGGUCACCUCGGCCUUGAGUUCCUGGAAGCCGGCGUGUCCCCGCUGCCAUGCCGAAUCUGUCACGGAAGCACAUCCACCAGUCCACACGUUUGCUGUUGUGUUGAUUUGAGGGUGAAGGCGUGGCGCUACGGCAGUGGACUCACCUCUUAAACUGCUGCUGUCACCUUGCCUGUUGGGACGCGCCAUCAGGCAACCACAAAAGGUUCCCCGCCUGAUAAAGUACCACAAGAGUGACCAUGGUGUUGUGUUUCUUACCUCCAGCCCUGGGCGGCACCACGGGGCUCUGAGGUGGGCAGGGUCUGUUCCGCAGCCUCUCCAUCUCCCUCAGCGUCUCUUCCAUGCGGCGCUGAAGCCCACCCAGCUCCCUCUCCAGGCGUUCUUUCUCCCCCUGCAGCAGGUUCCUCUCGCCCACUGUGCGGGUCAGCGUCUCCUGAAGUCCCGACUGGCUCCGGCCUCCAGGCUGGGUGGUGCCUCCAGUGAGCCUGGACACCAGCGCCUCCAGCAGGGAGAGUCUGGCCUUGAAGCCCUCCAGCUCUGGGCUUGCAGUCUGCGGGCAGCUGGCCUCAGCGGGACUGGCCACGGUGAAGGUGUACUGGCAUCGCCCGCUGCGGUCGUUCCCCCUCCAGAGGGCAGCGUGGUCCUGAGCGUCCCCUUGAGCCAGAAGCCCCACAAGGCAGAGCAGGAGGAACAUGACGGAGCUACUGACACGCCUAGAUCUUCCUCCCGGCAGGCUGACUAACAGAGCUUGGCACCGUUGUCCUCUCCUUCAUCAUCUUCCUGGGCCUGGCGACUCACUCAAACCAGAUAAAACCGGUCGUCGAGACGCUCGCCCCUCUCUAUCACUUUGGAGAUGUUCUCCUGCAUCACAUCAAUCACCUCAUCCACCUGUGACUGCACCCUGAGGACCACAUGGGUCAACAACAAUGGCUAAGGAGCACAUUGACAACAAGUGACGAAAGCAAGAAUAAACUCUGGGGUGGUCCACACGUACACAACAUCCUCUGUGUUAAGGGCGAGGGGUAGGCAGCAAAGAGGAGGGGGACGGGGUUACACAAUAACAUGCAUGAGAAGGGGUCCCUCUUACACAAUGCGCUAACAACCUGCAGUCGCCAGUAAACACAACAAGCUUGGUUAUAUAACACAUAAACAGGCACCAAAAGCUAGCUCGUGUGUUGAACACACAACAUUUGACCUCUGGCACUGACUGAGGAAUGUGUUUUGGACUCACUGUUUGAGUUUGUCAUUCUGGGGUCCAAAUCUGGGUCCUGUGGGCCCCCGCCUGGUGAACAGGUAGGAAACAAAUCAGUGUUUUAUAAAAUAUCAUCAGGCAGUUACGUGGUGAGAAAUGAAUAGUUACAAAUUUAAGCUAUUUCUAUAAAAUGUAUGAACAUGUUCAGAAACUCACAGGAAAAAGUCUUCCUCUUCAUCAGAGUCUUCUUCCAAAAGGUUCCUCUGUUAACACAAAAAGGUACAAAGCUCUCUAUAGACUUUAAAAUAAGCACUUAUUUUGGUUAGUUUAGCCUGAUUCAAAAUAUGCUAUUUGUCAUAAAUGCAUACACAAUAAACAUACGGUUGAAAUGAUAGCUCAUAUAAAGUUAGCAUUAUUUCCUUGUAAAAGGCACACUGUCCACAGCUUUAGUAUUGGAGGUUAACCUAAUAUUAAGUGGCUUUAUUUUGAUGACUUUCUGUCUUCACCUCAUCUUAUAUCAAAAGAUAUAAGUGAACAUAGCAAGUCAACAUGUGUGUGUAUGUAUCAACAGCGACAGUCUAAAAGAAGGAGCGCCACCAGACACCACACGCUAUUCAUGGUGAAUUAGCAAGGACAGGUGCAUUAAAUUCCUCACAACAAGAGGAGAAUUUUCCCAACGUGGCUUGCUUUCUUAUUGGACGAGAGGACACAAAUUUGCUGUUGCUGGGAGAGGAAAAAAUGGCCUCUCAGUCGUGGGUUUAUCUAAACAUGGCACAUGCAUUAUUACGGGAUGUUCCAUGAGAUUAUGUAGAAUUUAGGCGACACUUCCUCCAGGCACUGUUGGAACAACAGAGAUGCCAAACAAAAGGCUGAUGGAGGAUCUACAGCACACUGUAGAUAGUAACAGAGCCCAGAAAAGGGGGUGGGAUUAUGUGAGCGUCCUCCGUUUGUCAUAUACAUCAUCACAUGCAUGAUGGUGGAGGGCAAUUGAUGGAACAAAACAUUAUCAUGCAAUGCCUUCUUUAACAACAGAGCGGCUUUUGAUUUCAUUUCAUGCACUUGGAUGUGGAUGCGUGUGCCUUAUAACAUGCUGAGACAAGUGGGGGGGAAUUUCUUAUUAGCAUGAACGUCAUUCGGAAGUGGUUAUUUCAAGCAAAUUUAACAAGUGGACUGUGUGAUUCACAGCCUUCUGUGUCGUCUUGAUAACAACUUAUUUCUAAAUAUAUUGUGAUCUUCAGACUGGUGAGCGUGUCCAUAAAAAACCUUCAUGCACACAUCAUCAUUUUUGUUGUGUCAGUCCACUCUUCUCUCUUUCUCACCCUCUCACUGCGAAUGGAUCCUGUGACCUCGUCGUCAUUGAGGUGUCGUUUAAACUUGGGGGGCAUAUCGGCGUUGGGCUGCUCCUCCCGUUCGGGCUCCCUCUGCAGGAGCACAGAAAGGUUGAUUACUAAGCAAACCAUGCGUGGAUAGAUAGAACAGGCUUGUGAUGGCAGCAGACUAUUUCUAUUGUUUCUACUGCCCUGUCUUUGAAUAUGUGCUAUCUUAAAUGACUUCAAAAUGUACCUUUGUUUCAAACAUGCCUUCAUGAACAAGCCUAUUCAAUCUCAAAGUAACCAAACAUACUUUAAGCUCCGGCUGACUAUAAAACAUAU